Molecule: long non-coding RNA, 1143 nt
Organism: Jaculus jaculus (lesser Egyptian jerboa)
Lineage: Eukaryota; Metazoa; Chordata; Mammalia; Rodentia; Dipodidae
Exons: 4
Source: RefSeq, a predicted model, not a curated record
CUAGUCCAGGCUGACGUGGCACUCACUCUGUAAAUCCUCCUACCUCUGCCUCCCUCCUGAGUGUUGGGCUCAAAGACGACCACCACCAUGCCCAGCUUGUUUUCUUGGGUUAAGAUCUCCUAUCUCUGGAUCCCUAGUGCUGGAGCUACAGGAAAGACUACCAGCCACUGAAUUUGGAAGACUCUUCUUCAGUUUCUCCCAUAAAGCUUUUAAUUAUUCCAACACAUUACACUUACUUGUUUGUGGAUCUGUUGUCUCCAGAGAUACCUUGAAAGCAGGAACUUCCAGCAGAUGCACCAAUGAAUACUGUCAUGGGACUGAAUUAGGAGUUGGUUGAUGUUUUCAACAUGAACUUAAAAGUCAAAAUUAAUAAACCUUCCUUAGUUCAGGCGCUGGACGUGCUGGAGCCCUGGGAGCCGACCGUGUUCCAUUCGAUGCUGGUUUCCAUCGUGGGCAUGGCGCUGUACACUGGCUACGUCUUCAUGCCCCAACACAUCAUGGCAAUACUACACUACUUUGAAAUUGUACAGUGACGAAGAUGUGGCCAGGAUCAGAGGUUCCCGGGGAAGACCCACCCGAUGAAGUUGGAGUGAGACGUCAUCAGAAAACUACUGGCUGUCACAACCACCCUUACUCCUACAAAGACUAGGCUCCAUGAGGGGAGCAGGAGAACCAUUCUGACUCAUGUAUCACAUUCUUUAUUUUUAAUUUUACAAGAGGCUCUUCUACAGUAGUUUUUGUCUAUUUUAACCUUGUAGUCAUUUGUACUUUGGUAUCAGUAUUUUCUUAACCUUUGUGACUGUUUCAAUAAAACCCUGUGAAAGCGUUUCUUAAUGCCACUUUGAGUAUAUCUUAAUUGCCUUCUAUUUUUAAGACGCCAGGUCAUCUAUUAUAUGGCAUAUACGGCUGCCUAGACAUAUUUCUACUCUUGACCAAAGUUUUGUAAGAAACAAUACAAGAUUUGGGGAGGGGGCAGGAAGACAUUUUAUUGAGAACUAUGUACACAAGACUUCUCUGUAAGCUUGAACUCAGGAGGACAUUAGCCUCUUAACAGCUUUUGCUCUAAACUAUUAACAUGUUUCUUAGUCUGGAAGAAGUAAAGAUCUUGCUAAAAUUAAUAUAAAGAACAUUUCAUCUUUUAAA